Molecule: non-coding RNA, 345 nt
Organism: Salmo salar (Atlantic salmon)
Lineage: Eukaryota; Metazoa; Chordata; Actinopteri; Salmoniformes; Salmonidae
Source: RefSeq, a predicted model, not a curated record
AUCUUUCGAUGACCGCAUGAUCAUUCCAGACUCUGCUUCUGUUGAGAGAGAAAUUAAAGGGGUCAGUGCUCUAAAAUGAGUCUCUCUGGGGAGAGAGAGGAGGGGGGCCCUGCCUCUAAAAUGAGUCUAUCUGGGGAACAUGACACCACAGCUAAGAGCCCAAUCAAGCAGGAGAGACCGGCCUCCCUUGUACCCAGCUGUGUGUCCAUGAAGAGUGAUAAGUCUAUGGAUUAUCCUAUAUAUUUUUCUACUGAACAAAGAAACCAACAAGAGAGAUCAGAGUCAGAGAUUCUCAGUGGUCAGUCUUCCCAAAGUCAUCAAACAGACCUGGCCUUCAUAUUCAGU